This 535-nucleotide long non-coding RNA is filed under the name Pan troglodytes (chimpanzee). RNAcentral's name for it is "lincRNA". Lineage: Eukaryota; Metazoa; Chordata; Mammalia; Primates; Hominidae. The record is from RNAcentral.
CAGCCCUGUAGGAGACACCUCCAGAGAAAGUAACAGCUCUCAAUUGAUUAGCUGAGGAGACCGAUUUUGUAAAUCACUACUUUUCUAACAACACUGGCACAGAUGGCCAAGCAUUCUCCCUUUUCUCAGAGCUGGUUUUCCAUCCCGGAAAGAGGACUUACAUAUACAAAGUUACUCUAAUCAGUUGUGAAGACACCAGACAAAUGAGUUACACUGUUUUGGACUCCCCAACACAAUCCAGCCACCGGCUGAAUGCCACCAAAUUACCUUCUAGUUAAAGGUUUAUGGAGCAAACGAAUCACCUAUUCAAUAUCUGCUUGAAUUUCUGACUCAAAAUACAUCAGGUAUGUACUGUGUGACUUAAAUAUUGAGUUUAUUUUUAUCAAAUACCUGUCAAGAAAGAAAGUCAAUUCUGAAACAGCAGAAGCUCAAAGUUCUACAGAUGGCUUUCAAAGGAAUUUGAAUUAGACAUCAUUUGAUGUUGCAAAAAACAAUGACAUCUUUUAUAGCUCUAAACAUCAGUUUUUAAAUUAGA